Molecule: ribosomal RNA, 526 nt
Filed under: uncultured bacterium
Lineage: Bacteria
Description: bacterial SSU rRNA
Rfam family: Bacterial small subunit ribosomal RNA
Source: RNAcentral
ACAUCCAGAGAACUUAGCAGAGAUGCUUCGGUGCCUUCGGGAACUCUGAGACAGGUGCUGCAUGGCUGUCGUCAGCUCGUGUUGUGAAAUGUUGGGUUAAGUCCCGNAACGAGCGCAACCCUUAUCCUUUGUUGCCAGCGGGUAAUGCCGGGAACUCAAAGGAGACUGCCGGUGAUAAACCGGAGGAAGGUGGGGAUGACGUCAAGUCAUCAUGGCCCUUACGGCCAGGGCUACACACGUGCUACAAUGGCGCAUACAAAGAGAAGCGACCUCGCGAGAGCAAGCGGACCUCAUAAAGUGCGUCGUAGUCCGGAUCGGAGUCUGCAACUCGACUCCGUGAAGUCGGAAUCGCUAGUAAUCGUAGAUCAGAAUGCUACGGUGAAUACGUUCCCGGGCCUUGUACACACCGCCCGUCACACCAUGGGAGUGGGUUGCAAAAGAAGUAGGUAGCUUAACCUCCGGGAGGGCGCUUACCACUUUGUGAUUCAUGACUGGGGUGAAGUCGUAACAAGGUAGGCGUAGUGCU